RNAcentral lists this ribosomal RNA (425 nucleotides) under uncultured bacterium. Its description in RNAcentral is "bacterial SSU rRNA". It matches the Rfam family "Bacterial small subunit ribosomal RNA", at positions 354 to 796 of the family's 1533-position model. The record is from RNAcentral.
GUGGGGAAUCUUGCGCAAUGGGCGAAAGCCUGACGCAGCCAUGCCGCGUGAAUGAUGAAGGUCUUAGGAUUGUAAAAUUCUUUCAGCAGGGACGAUAAUGACGGUACCUGCAGAAGAAGCCCCGGCUAACUUCGUGCCAGCAGCCGCGGUAAUACGAAGGGGGCUAGCGUUGCUCGGAAUUACUGGGCGUAAAGGGCGCGUAGGCGGGUCGUUAAGUAGGGGGUGAAAGCCCAGGGCUCAACCCUGGAAUUGCCUUCUAAACUGGCGGCCUUGAGUAUGGCAGAGGUGUGUGGAACUCCGAGUGUAGAGGUGAAAUUCGUAGAUAUUCGGAAGAACACCAGUGGCGAAGGCGACACACUGGGCCAUUACUGACGCUGAGGCGCGAAAGCGUGGGGAGCAAACAGGAUUAGAUACCCUUGUAGUCC